RNAcentral lists this transfer RNA (65 nucleotides) under Dipodomys ordii (Ord's kangaroo rat). It matches the Rfam family "tRNA". Rfam says of the family: Transfer RNA (tRNA) molecules are approximately 80 nucleotides in length. Their secondary structure includes four short double-helical elements and three loops (D, anti-codon, and T loops). Further hydrogen bonds mediate the characteristic L-shaped molecular structure. tRNAs have two regions of fundamental functional importance: the anti-codon, which is responsible for specific mRNA codon recognition, and the 3' end, to which the tRNAs corresponding amino acid is attached (by aminoacyl-tRNA synthetases). tRNAs cope with the degeneracy of the genetic code in two manners: having more than one tRNA (with a specific anti-codon) for a particular amino acid; and 'wobble' base-pairing, i.e. permitting non-standard base-pairing at the 3rd anti-codon position. Lineage: Eukaryota; Metazoa; Chordata; Mammalia; Rodentia; Heteromyidae. The record is from Rfam by way of RNAcentral.
GGUGGCUCAUUGGUAGAGUGCUUGCCUUGCAUGCAUGAAGCCCUGGGUUUGAUUCCUCAGCACCA